CGUUAAUGAAACAUGCGCCUAAAGGGUUUCUUCUCCAUUCACUUUGAACCGAAACCCUGAAACCCUUGGCGCCUCCAUUCUUCUCCAUCCAUCCAUCGGUCGAGUUCCACCGGCCGACGACCAUACCGGCAGGAGAUCUGAACCUACCGGAGUGGGAGCCCCCUGACGCCGCUUUACACCCCCUCCGGUGACCCACCGGUCGACGCCGACAACCAUACCGGCAGGAGAAUCAAGGUUUUGGAGAAAAUAUUCAAUCUAUUACAGAUGGAAGUGGUCCACGAAGCACCAUUCCUUAUCUUUGGAAUUGGCAACAAGUUCACAACAUGCCAUCACCUAUGCAGCACCACAUUGGCUCAUGUUUUACCAUUCUAGCUCUUUUGUAGAGGUACGUGGAAAUGUGUCUAGCCAAACCAUCUCUACUGGAUCUCAUAUGAGCCAGGAAUCAUCAUGGAUAUGGAUCGGACCAUGUCAAGACCAACAGCCGGAAAAGUGGAGUUAUCAUUUGCUGUUUUUUUUUCACACAGUACAUUUUUUCUGUUUUGAUGUUCUAUCAAUCUCUUUAUUUGUGAAGUCUCUCUAAUUUUCUAUUAAGAGCUAUUCUAGCAGUUUGGCUGAAGCACUCUAAUGAAAAAUGUUUGAUGAACAUAGAUAAGAAUGUCUAUCUCUCGAUCCACCAGGCUGCAUCAAGGACUAAAGGAGGUUCAAGUGGUUCACCUGUCAUUGAUUGGCAAGGAAGAGCAGUAGCAUUGAAUGCUGUCAGCAAAUCAUCAAGUGCUUCUGGAUGCCCAAGCCUUUCAAGUGGUUCACCUUUCAAUGCCUUAGGCCAUGUAACUAGACUUUAUUUCGGAUAAUAUCUAAAUUUGCUUCUAGGUGCCUACUAAAUACUAAUAAAUCGGAGUGAUAAGGGAAGUUUGAACCGGAAGGCAGAUGGCAGAAAGAGAUUGGAUUUCAAACCAAGAAAUUCUUAUUCAAAGAGACGAAGAUAAAAGGGCAAGAAGCUGUUAAAGUAAGGGAAGAGAAGAUAGUGAUGAUUUACCUAGUGGGAAAAGUGACAACAUGAUUCAAAGGAUUUCUAGACGUGGCGACGGAUCAGUGAAGAUACAAAACUGGAGGGACUUGCAGGUUGCAGCAUAUGCCUUUUUUAUGAUUAUUUAUUUAUUUUGCUGUAUGUUCAUUGCAUCAAUUUUGCUUGCACUAUAAAGUCCAUGGAUAACAAACCAUCAUCAAAGUUCCAAAAUAUAAUUCUCAAAUCA
Molecule: long non-coding RNA, 1253 nt
Organism: Nelumbo nucifera (sacred lotus)
Lineage: Eukaryota; Viridiplantae; Streptophyta; Magnoliopsida; Proteales; Nelumbonaceae
Source: RefSeq, a predicted model, not a curated record